UACAGGGGGUGCAAACGUUGCUCGGAAUCAUUGGGCGUAAAGCGCACGUAGGCGGUUCGUUAUGUCGGAUGUGAAAGCCCUUGGCUUAACCGAGGAAGUGCAUCCGAAACUGGCGAGCUAGAGUACUAAAGAGGAUCGCGGAAUUCCCGGUGUAGAGGUGAAAUUCGUAGAUAUCGGGAGGAACACCGGUGGCGAAGGCGGCGAUCUGGGUAGAUACUGACGCUGAGGUGCGAAAGCGUGGGGAGCAACAGGG
RNAcentral lists this ribosomal RNA (253 nucleotides) under uncultured bacterium. Its description in RNAcentral is "partial 16S ribosomal RNA". It matches the Rfam family "Bacterial small subunit ribosomal RNA", at positions 524 to 776 of the family's 1533-position model. The record is from RNAcentral.